UACGUAGGGUGCGAGCGUUGUCCGGAAUUAUUGGGCGUAAAGAGCUCGUAGGCGGUCUGUCGCGUCUGCUGUGAAAACCCGAGGCUCAACCUCGGGCCUGCAGUGGGUACGGGCAGACUAGAGUGCGGUAGGGGAGAAUGGAACUCCUGGUGUAGCGGUGGAAUGCGCAGAUAUCAGGAAGAACACCGAUGGCGAAGGCAGGUCUCUGGGCAUUAACUGACGCUGAGGAGCGAAAGCGUGGGGAGCGAACAGG
RNAcentral lists this ribosomal RNA (253 nucleotides) under uncultured bacterium. Its description in RNAcentral is "partial 16S ribosomal RNA". It matches the Rfam family "Bacterial small subunit ribosomal RNA", at positions 524 to 776 of the family's 1533-position model. The record is from RNAcentral.